Molecule: ribosomal RNA, 253 nt
Filed under: uncultured bacterium
Lineage: Bacteria
Description: partial 16S ribosomal RNA
Rfam family: Bacterial small subunit ribosomal RNA
Source: RNAcentral
UACGAGAGGCCCAAGCGUUAUUCGGAUUUACUGGGCUUAAAGCGUUCGUAGGCGGCGCGGAAAGUAGGGUGUGAAAGCCCUCGGCUCAACCGAGGAAUUGCGCUCUAAACUACUGUGCUUGAGGAAGCUAGAGGUGAGCGGAACUGAUGGUGGAGCGGUGAAAUGCGUUGAUAUCAUCAGGAACACCGGAGGCGAAGGCGGCUCACUGGGGCUUUUCUGACGCUGAGGAACGAAAGCCAGGGGAGCGAACGGG